GACGAACGCUGGCGGCGUGCUUAACACAUGCAAGUCGAACGGAAAGGCCUCUUUCGGGGGGUACUCGAGUGGCGAACGGGUGAGUAACACGUGAGUAACCUGCCCUUGACUUUGGGAUAACUUCAGGAAACUGGGGCUAAUAGCGGAUAGGAGCUACUGCCUCCGGGUGGGGGUUGGAGAGUUUCGGCGGUUGGGGAUUGGUUGGCGGCGUAUCAGCUUGUUGGUGGGGUAGUGGCUUACCCAGGCUUAGGCGGGAAGCCGGCCAGGGGGGGUGAGCGGCGACAUUGGGACUGAGAGACGGCCGAGACUCGUACUGGAGGCAGCAGGGGGGAAGAUUGCACCAGGGGUGGAAGGCUGAUGCAGAAAGGCCGUGUGCGGGAUGACGGCUUUCUGGUUGUAAAACGGCUUCGCUCAAGACGAAGCUUUGUGUGACGGUAGUGGGUAAAGAAGCACCGGCUAACUACGUG
This 467-nucleotide ribosomal RNA is filed under the name uncultured bacterium. RNAcentral describes it as "partial 16S ribosomal RNA". It matches the Rfam family "Bacterial small subunit ribosomal RNA", at positions 28 to 507 of the family's 1533-position model. The record is from RNAcentral.